This 119-nucleotide ribosomal RNA is filed under the name Pteropus alecto (black flying fox). Lineage: Eukaryota; Metazoa; Chordata; Mammalia; Chiroptera; Pteropodidae. The record is from RNAcentral.
UACUACGGCCAUGCCACCCUGAACAUGCCCGAUCUUGUCUGAUCUUGGAAGCUAAGCAGGGUCGGGCCUUGUUAGUACUUGGAUGGGAGACCAUCUAGGAAUACCAGGUGCUGUAAGCG